This 563-nucleotide ribosomal RNA is filed under the name uncultured Glomeromycotina. Its description in RNAcentral is "SSU rRNA". It matches the Rfam family "Eukaryotic small subunit ribosomal RNA", at positions 548 to 1114 of the family's 1831-position model. Lineage: Eukaryota; Fungi; Glomeromycota. The record is from RNAcentral.
UUGGAGGGCAAGUCUGGUGCCAGCAGCCGCGGUAAUUCCAGCUCCAAUAGCGUAUAUUUAAGUUGUUGCAGUUAAAAAGCUCGUAGUUGAAUUUCGGGGUUAGUAGGUUGGUCAUGCCACUGGUAUGUACUGGUCUCACUGAUUCCUCCUUCCUGAUGAGCCGUAAUGCCAUUAAUUUGGUGUUGCGAGGAAUCUGGACUGUUACUUUGAAAAAAUUAGAGUGUUUAAAGCAGGCUAACGCUUGAAUACAUUAGCAUGGAAUAAUGAAAUAGGACGUUCGAUCCUAUUUUGUUGGUUUCUAGGAUUGACGUAAUGAUUAAUAGGGAUAGUUGGGGGCAUUAGUAUUCAAUUGUCAGAGGUGAAAUUCUUGGAUUUAUUGAAGACUAACUACUGCGAAAGCAUUUGCCAAGGAUGUUUUCAUUAAUCAAGAACGAAAGUUAGGGGAUCGAAGACGAUCAGACACCGUCGUAGUCUUAACCAUAAACUAUGCCGACUAGGGAUCGGAUGAUGUUAUUUUUAAUGACUCAUUCGGCGCCUUACGGGAAACCAAAGUGUUUGGGUUC